Molecule: ribosomal RNA, 492 nt
Filed under: uncultured bacterium
Lineage: Bacteria
Description: partial 16S ribosomal RNA
Rfam family: Bacterial small subunit ribosomal RNA
Source: RNAcentral
AGUGAACGCUGGCGGUAGGCCUAACACAUGCCAGUCGAACGGCAGCACAGUAAGAGCUUGCUCUUACGGGUGGCGAGUGGCGGACGGGUGAGGAAUACAUCGGAAUCUACUUUUUCGUGGGGGAUAACGUAGGGAAACUUACGCUAAUACCGCAUACGACCUACGGGUGAAAGCAGGGGAUCUUCGGACCUUGCGCGAUUGAAUGAGCCGAUGUCGGAUUAGCUAGUUGGCGGGGUAAAGGCCCACCAAGGCGACGAUCCGUAGCUGGUCUGAGAGGAUGAUCAGUCACACUGGAACUGAGACACGGUCCAGACUCCUACGAGAGGCAGCAGUGGGGAAUAUUGGACAAUGGGCGCAAGCCUGAUCCAGCCAUACCGCGUGGGUGAAGAGGGCCUUCGGGUUGUAAAGCCCUUUUGUUGGGAAAGAAAAGCAGCAGGUUAAUACCCCGCUGUUCUGACGGUACCCAAAGAAUAAGCACCGGCUAACUUCGUG